UGAGAUCAAAUGUUACAGAUCAUGAUAAUCCUUCCAAUAGAACUCAUCUCUAAGAAUAAGCCUAACAAUAUAUAACAAAAGAAUACACAAUAUUUUUCAUAGAACAAGGGACAUACUUUUGGGUUGACUGAUCCUUCCCAAGCCAUUGGGUUUGCGGUCAUAGACUCCAAUCCAGCGCCAAUACCUGAUUUGUUAGAGGUAAGUUAGCCAAACAUGAUUUGUUAGAGGUAAGUUAGCCAAACAUGAUUUGUUAGAGGAACACCGAAUCCAAGGGAAUGCAGUUACAAUGCACUUCAGCAAAAGGAAAUGGCAAACAAACCAAUGUCAUAAAAUCCAGCUUUAAUAGCUG
This 349-nucleotide long non-coding RNA is filed under the name Nicotiana tabacum (common tobacco). RNAcentral's name for it is "long non-coding RNA (NTAB_LNC017238)". The record is from RNAcentral. Lineage: Eukaryota; Viridiplantae; Streptophyta; Magnoliopsida; Solanales; Solanaceae.